This is a long non-coding RNA of Amphiprion ocellaris (clown anemonefish), 826 nucleotides long. Lineage: Eukaryota; Metazoa; Chordata; Actinopteri; Pomacentridae. The record is from Ensembl.
GUGAACAGGUGCUGCUCAUCAGCAGUCACAUAAAGGUGGAGAUGUUCAGCCAUCACUACUCACCUCAGUACAUAACCAGAUGCCAACUACUACACUUCGCCGGACUGUCGAACGACCUCAUUUGGACCUCCACCUGCUUUCCACCACCCUCCGGAACCUCCGUCUGUCUGUUCCCAUUUGUGUCAUCUGGAUCAUCAAGACUUUCACUACUCCCUGGCUAUCUGCACCUGUCGCCAUUCCUGCCACAUGCCACCUCUGCCUGCCUUCCCCACUCUGUUUUCUGUCAGUCCUCAUUUAAGUUCCCGGCUUGACCGCUGCAUCCAGUUCAGUCAGUUUGUUUAGCGUAACUCUGGGUUUAGUCUGUUUUUGUAGCUUAGCCAUCUGUUUAGGUUUGCGUUCUCGGCGUUUACUCUGCCACCCAUUUUGUAUUUAGGAAGUAUUUUCCGAGCAUUUGAUCUCUGUCUAGUUUAGCCGUUUUGGCUUCCAGUCCUGUCUUUAGCUUCAGAGUUAUUCCUUGACUAGCUUUCCUGUCCCUAGUCAUACCUGGUGUAGGUUAGUAGAAUUCAUGUUUUUACUAGCAGUUUGGCCUUAGUAAUUCUGUUUACCCCUAGAGGUCCCCCUUGUUUACUGAAUCCUGUGCCUGAUUCUGCAUUACUGUUUCUGUGAAUCGUUGUAAAUGAGUCAUUGUAAAUAUCAACUUGCCUGUUGUAUCUUCGUUGCCUGCACUUAGGUCUCUGCUCAGCCACAUAAAGUGAAUAAAAUAUUCAUUGGCUUAGAAACAAGGAAUACCGCUUUAUUUAAUAUUGUUUCAAUGAAUACAUACAUG